CCUACGGGAGGCUGCAGUGGGGAAUAUUGGACAAUGGGCGAAAGCCUGAUCCAGCAAUACCGCGUGUGUGAAGAAGGCCUGAGGGUUGUAAAGCACUUUCAAUAGGAAGGAAUACCUAUCGGCGAAUACCCGGUAGACUGACAUUACCUAUACAAGAAGCACCGGCUAACUCCGUGCCAGCAGCCGCGGUAAUACGGAGGGUGCAAGCGUUAAUCGGAAUUACUGGGCGUAAAGCGUGCGUAGGCGGUUAUUUAAGUCAGAUGUGAAAGCCCCGGGCUUAACCUGGGAACUGCAUUUGAUACUGGAUGACUAGAGUUGAGUAGAGGAGAGUGGAAUUUCAGGUGUAGCGGUGAAAUGCGUAGAGAUCUGAAGGAACACCAGUGGCGAAGGCGGCUCUCUGGACUCAAACUGACGCUGAGGUACGAAAGCGUGGGUAGCAAACAGGAUUAGAUACCCUUGUAGUC
RNAcentral lists this ribosomal RNA (464 nucleotides) under uncultured Methylomonas sp. Its description in RNAcentral is "bacterial SSU rRNA". It matches the Rfam family "Bacterial small subunit ribosomal RNA", at positions 338 to 795 of the family's 1533-position model. The record is from RNAcentral. Lineage: Bacteria; Pseudomonadati; Pseudomonadota; Gammaproteobacteria; Methylococcales; Methylococcaceae.